AACGAACGCUGGCGGCAUGCCUAACACAUGCAAGUCGAGCGCCCGUAGCAAUACGGGAGCGGCGCACGGGUGAGUAACGCGUGGGAACCUGCCCAGAGGUUCGGGACAACCGCGGGAAACUGCGGCUGAUACCGGAUGAUACCUGAGGGUCAAAGAUUUAUCGCCUUUGGAGGGGCCCGCGUCGGAUUAGGUAGUUGGUGGGGUAACGGCCUACCAAGCCUAUGAUCCGUAACUGGUCUGAGAGGAUGACCAGUCACACUGGGACUGAGACACGGCCCAGACUCCUACGGGAGGCAGCAGUGGGGAGUAUUGGACAAUGGGGGGCAACCCUGAUCCAGCAAUGCCGCGUGGGUGAUGAAGGCCUUCGGGUUGUAAAGCCCUUUCGGCGGGACGAUGAUGACGGUACCCGCAGAAGAAGCCCCGGCUAACUCCGUGCCAGCAGCCGCGGUAAU
Molecule: ribosomal RNA, 452 nt
Filed under: uncultured bacterium
Lineage: Bacteria
Description: bacterial SSU rRNA
Rfam family: Bacterial small subunit ribosomal RNA
Source: RNAcentral